This 59-nucleotide transfer RNA is filed under the name Antricola marginatus. RNAcentral's name for it is "tRNA-Leu". The record is from RNAcentral. Lineage: Eukaryota; Metazoa; Arthropoda; Arachnida; Ixodida; Argasidae.
AUUAGAGUGGCAGAUUAGUGCGAGGAAUUUAAGCUUCCUAUAUGAUAUUUCCUUUAAUA